Molecule: ribosomal RNA, 647 nt
Filed under: Staphisagria macrosperma
Lineage: Eukaryota; Viridiplantae; Streptophyta; Magnoliopsida; Ranunculales; Ranunculaceae
Description: eukaryotic LSU rRNA
Rfam family: 5.8S ribosomal RNA (bases 231-386)
Source: RNAcentral
ACAAGUGAAAACAAACCCNNACGGACCGAGGAGGGGCCCGUUCCCCCGAUNGCCCGUUCGCCGGACCACGACCCCCUCGGCGCCCGUAGCCAUGCUGCGUGCGGACGGGGCGGACCGUCGCGUCCGCGCAAAAACUAAAAUCCGGCGCGACACGCGCCAAGGAAAACACAAGCGGAAAGAGAGGGCUGUCCCCGUCCGCGGGGGCGUUCCUCGNAAUCCGAUACUCGAACGACUCUCGGCGACGGAUAUCUCGGCUCUUGCAUCGAUGAAGAACGUANCGAAAUGCGAUACUUGGUGUGAAUUGCAGAAUCCCGUGAACCAUCGAGUCUUUGAACGCAAGUUGCGCCCGAGGCCAUUAGGUCGAGGGCACGUCUGCCUGGGCGUCACACACAGCGUCGCACCCCGCCAACCACGUUGUCGGGGAGCGGAGAUUGGCCCCCCGGGCCCGUUGCGGGCACGGUCGGCACAAAUGUUGGUCCCCGGCGGCGAUCGUCGCGGUCAGCGGUGGUUGUACCUCUCAUCCUCCAAAGACACAAAAGACGCGUCGGCCCCGUCGCACGUCGGGACGUACCGACCCCUACGGAGUCGCCCCNGGCGGCGCUCCAACCUGCGACCCCAGGUCAGGCGGGAUCACCCGCUGAGUUUAA